GAAAUGCGAUAAGUAAUGUGAAUUGCAGAAUUCAGUGAAUCAUCGAAUCUUUGAACGCACAUUGCGCCCAUUAGUAUUCUAGUGGGCAUGCCUGUUCGAGCGUCAUUUCAACCCUCAAGCCCCAGUUGCUUGGUGUUGGGAGCUUGCCUGCGGGCACCUCCUUAAAGCUAUUGGCGGAGUCGUGUUGGCCCCAAGCGUAGUAAUUUUUUUCCUCGCUUCAGGUGUCCCAGCGCUGGCGUCCAGCCGUAAAACCCCUAAUUUUCUAGUGGUUGACCUCGGAUCAGGUAGGAAUACCCGCUGAACUUAA
This 307-nucleotide unclassified non-coding RNA is filed under the name uncultured Diatrypaceae. Its description in RNAcentral is "sequence contains ITS1". The stretch from base 1 to 105 matches the Rfam family "5.8S ribosomal RNA", at positions 50 to 154 of the family's 154-position model. Lineage: Eukaryota; Fungi; Ascomycota; Sordariomycetes; Xylariales; Diatrypaceae. The record is from RNAcentral.